Molecule: ribosomal RNA, 252 nt
Filed under: uncultured bacterium
Lineage: Bacteria
Description: partial 16S ribosomal RNA
Rfam family: Bacterial small subunit ribosomal RNA
Source: RNAcentral
UACGGAGGAGGCAAGCGUUAUCCGGAAUUAUUGGGCGUAAAGCGUCCGUAGGUGGCUAGUCAAGUCUGCGGUCAAAGACUGGGGCUUAACCCUGGAAAGGCCGUGGAAACUUUCAAACUAGAGUAUGGUAGGGGUAGAGGGAAUUUCCAGUGGAGCGGUGAAUGCGUAGAUAUUGGAAAGACCACCGAUGGCGAAGGCACUCUACUGGGCCACUACUGACACUGAGAGACGAAAGCUAGGGGAGCAAAUGGG